Portunus trituberculatus (swimming crab) is the source of this 1851-nucleotide long non-coding RNA. RefSeq lists it as uncharacterized. The transcript is spliced from 5 exons. NCBI's taxonomy places the organism in Eukaryota, Metazoa, Arthropoda, Malacostraca, Decapoda, Portunidae. The record is from RefSeq and is a predicted model, not a curated record.
CCCAGACCCAGACUUGACACUCUCCAGAUGUCUUCCAUCCACAUAUUCCUCCCCAUUUUAAGACAUUGAGGAUUCGUGGGACGCUUGGUGGUGAGGAGAAGACAUAUACAAAUAUAGAGACAAAACUGAAAAGCAGGAAGACCACCACCACAAUGGAAGGUUUGGAGACAAGUAGGCUUUGGGCAGCAGUAGAAGCUCCCCCAAUCCCCCCCCCCCUCCCUCUUUGCUCCACCAUUACCUCGAUUAGAGAAAAUUUGGCUGAUGGAGUUAGAGAGCACAUCAGAAGGGGCAGAAGGUGGAGGAUGAAGGAGCCAAGCUUCAGAAUUACAGGAAGUAUUAUGAGCAGCUUCUGUAGAGGAUGAAGACUUUUCCAAAUAAGAUCAACCAUGAGGUUGGAAAAUAUUGUCUACAAUUCUCCACACAUUCAAUGCCUGGUGGCAUCUAUUGACGAAGGAAGAAGGAAAGAGGUAACAAGUUUGAGGACGAGACGGAAGAAGGAAAGAGGCAACAAGUUUGAGGACGAGACAGAUCGAGUCACCAAGGUAUAGGGCCCAGAAACCAAGGGAAACGCAGACAAAACGCUUCUUCUCACCCUGACAGCCACACGGCCACUGAGGUAGUCCUGUGUUGGGAGACUGAGGAAACUAACUGCCUGCUGGUACACAGCAUACUGCAAAAGAAAAAGACAGCCACUGUUUUAUGCUGGGAGGCUCAUCUGCAUAAUGUGCCCUUGUUAUUUGAGGGCUUUUUAAGGUUGUAAGGAUUGUUUAUAUAAUGUUUUUCCAUUUCCAGCUUGCAAGAACCAAACAGUGAAAGACGUGCAACUUUAGCAUCAAGAAUCCAAUCGAACAGGCUGCUUGGAACAUCAGUACUAGUAAUACUGCGUUAGAAGAAGCCUUCAGAGCUAGUGCUGGCUUGCUCAAGGAACUGUGGUCUAGAUCAACAAGACCUUCCCAAGUUCCUUUGUCAUGGUGCAUCAAUUAGCCAGCAUCCUGCCCCAUAACAAUGUCCUUCCUAGCUCGCUUUUUAUUAUGACAGCAGAAAGUGGCACCGAAUGCCUGAUAUACUCUACCAAGUUGAAAGUAAUCAGAAGAUUCUCAGAUUUUGUAGUAGUGUAACAGUUACUAAAUAAAAAUACUUGUCCCCAAAAAUAAUAAAAUUCUCUCCAUUACAAAUUCUCUGGAGAGUCUUGGCAGUAUUUUCAACUUAGUACUAAUUUUUUUCAGGCAUUUUGGUUGUCCUAUUCAGUAGUGAGCUACAAAAUACAUCUGUAAUGGCAAGUACAAUUUUUUUCAGGCAUUUUGGUUGUCCUAUUCAGUAUGAGCUACAAAAUACAUCUGUAAUGGCAGCAGGAAGCUGUUAAAUCCAGACCACAAUUUCCAGGGUGAACCGCUUUUCUGGGUGGGCAGGAUGCUGGUUCAAUGAGUGCACAGGAACUUAGGAAGCUGUUGAUCAGACCAUAAUUUCAUGGGCCAAUGGGAUGCCACUGUUGUAGUUGUCUACAAUAAAGAGCUUGAUCCAACUGAUGCAGAGAAUCUAAACAGUUCAGCCUGCUGAGGAAGAGACAAGAAGCCAGGUUAACUGUCAGUAUCACCAUCCAUAAAAUAGAUUCCUGGAACCUAUAAAGCAGCUUAAUAAUUCAUUACAGUACUUUCCUUCCUUUAGUAUUUCUGACAAAUACAACACAGCAAGCUGUUGUGUGUCCUGUUGAACAAUAAGUGAAAUGUAGUCACUUUCACUGCUUUAAAGGCACCGAAACAUUUCUACUGUCUACAGUAAGCCGAUACAUGAAAUCGCUAUAUCCUGUUAUGAAUGCACGUCUAAAUAAAUUUUGUAUACUGAUUGGACAAA